This 497-nucleotide ribosomal RNA is filed under the name uncultured bacterium. Its description in RNAcentral is "partial 16S ribosomal RNA". It matches the Rfam family "Bacterial small subunit ribosomal RNA", at positions 28 to 507 of the family's 1533-position model. The record is from RNAcentral.
GAUGAACGCUGGCGGCGUGCCUAAUACAUGCCAGUCGAGCGAACAGACGAGGAGCUUGCUCCUCUGACGUUAGCGGCGGACGGGUGAGUAACACGUGGAUCACCUACCCAUAAGACUGGGAUAACUUCGGGAAACCGGAGCUAAUACCGGAUAAUAUAUUGAACCGCAUGGUUCAAUAGUGAAAGACGGUUUUGCUGUCACUUAUAGAUGGAUCCGCGCCGCAUUAGCUAGUUGGUAAGGUAACGGCUUACCAAGGCAACGAUGCGUAGCCGACCUGAGAGGGUGAUCGGCCACACUGGAACUGAGACACGGUCCAGACUCCUACGGGAGGCAGCAGUAGGGAAUCUUCCGCAAUGGGCGAAAGCCUGACGGAGCAACGCCGCGUGAGUGAUGAAGGUCUUCGGAUCGUAAAACUCUGUUAUUAGGGAAGAACAAAUGUGUAAGUAACUAUGCACGUCUUGACGGUACCUAAUCAGAAAGCCACGGCUAACUACGUG